GAACGUAAGGCUUAGUUGGUCAGAGCCUUGGACGGUUUUCAAGAGGCGUGAGUUCAAAUCCCACUACGUUCA
This 72-nucleotide transfer RNA is filed under the name Heliconius melpomene (postman butterfly). RNAcentral describes it as "tRNA HMEL003268". It matches the Rfam family "tRNA". From Rfam's summary of the family: Transfer RNA (tRNA) molecules are approximately 80 nucleotides in length. Their secondary structure includes four short double-helical elements and three loops (D, anti-codon, and T loops). The record is from RNAcentral. Lineage: Eukaryota; Metazoa; Arthropoda; Insecta; Lepidoptera; Nymphalidae.